RNAcentral lists this ribosomal RNA (461 nucleotides) under uncultured bacterium. RNAcentral's name for it is "bacterial SSU rRNA". It matches the Rfam family "Bacterial small subunit ribosomal RNA", at positions 337 to 791 of the family's 1533-position model. The record is from RNAcentral.
CCCUACGGGGCGCAGCAGUCGAGAAUUUUUCACAAUGGGCGAAAGCCUGAUGGAGCGACGCCGCGUGGGGGAUGAAUGGCUUCGGCCCGUAAACCCCUGUCAUUUGCGAUCAAACCCCGUUAUUUAAAAGAUGACGGGCUGAUAGUAGCGAAAGAGGAAGGGACGGCUAACUCUGUGCCAGCAGCCGCGGUAAUACAGAGGUCCCAAGCGUUGUUCGGAUUCACUGGGCGUAAAGGGUGCGUAGGUGGUGAGGUAAGUCGGAUGUGAAAGCUCGGAGCUCAACUCCGAAAUGGCAUUGGAAACUACCUUGCUCGAGGGUUGGAGGGGGGACUGGAAUACUUGGUGUAGCAGUGAAAUGCGUAGAUAUCAAGUGGAACACCAGUGGCGAAGGCGAGUCCCUGGACAACUCCUGACACUGAGGCACGAAAGCUAGGGGAGCAAACAGGAUUAGAUACCCCGGU